CGGGCGCUCGCUUGCAGCCGCCGCCGCAACUUCUUGUACUGCCUCAGGCCUGCCAGGCUCAGCGUCCUCGUUCUCCUUCGCCUCCCAAGCUCCGCGUCCUCAUCCUCCUCCGCCUGCCGACGCCGCCGCUCCUGCCCGGAAGGUCGAUCUCGAGGCCUACGCCGGAUACGACUAGCUCCUCCGCGCGCUCCAGGACAAGUUCUUCUCCCACUUCACCAUCCGGAAGUUCCCACAUACGUGCUAAAUAAGCUGGCUGUUGGACGCAGUGAACGGGACGGAGUACGAGGACAAGGACGGCGACGUCCCCUAGAAGUGAGCUCCUUCAAACCGUUCUCCUACUUCCCCUAAUUCGUCGAUUAUUAUCACUGCAGUAAAAUAAUUGUGUCAAGAAAAUGCUAUUGGCGUAUUUUUGCACGCGGAAGUUGAUAGCUAUCGUUCUUAUUUAUGUCAAGAAAAUAAUUCUGCUCUAGUUUAAACCUUCUUUCUUAUAUGUUGCUAUUACCUAGGGAGCUUGUUAUCUAGCCUGUUACCUCAACAUGUCCGCAAACACAUCGGAAAGCUCUGAUGAUUCUCAUUCAACCCAAACACGUGUUAGAAGGUCCAAGUUUUGGGAAUACUUUGAACAGAAUUUAAUUGAAGCUGAUGAUAGUUUUAAAGCUGUGUGUGCAGGUAUUUUCAAAUCCAUUUAAGCACUAAGUCAGGAACCAGCAGGAACCAGCAGCCUUAGGACCUAUAUUUCUUAUUAUUGUUAUGUAAUUGGAGAAGCUGAGAGGAAAAAGUUUGUAGCAACCUUGAAGAAACCUAUAGAGAACUUCGUAUUUUAUAUUUCUACAUGGUUAUAACAACUUAUUAUAUCA
Panicum hallii is the source of this 857-nucleotide long non-coding RNA. RefSeq lists it as uncharacterized. NCBI's taxonomy places the organism in Eukaryota, Viridiplantae, Streptophyta, Magnoliopsida, Poales, Poaceae. The transcript has 2 exons. The record is from RefSeq and is a predicted model, not a curated record.